RNAcentral lists this ribosomal RNA (478 nucleotides) under uncultured bacterium. Its description in RNAcentral is "partial 16S ribosomal RNA". It matches the Rfam family "Bacterial small subunit ribosomal RNA", at positions 28 to 523 of the family's 1533-position model. The record is from RNAcentral.
AUUGAACGCUGGCGGCGUGCUUAACACAUGCAAGUCGAACGGUAAGGCCCUUCGGGGUACACGAGUGGCGAACGGGUGAGUAACACGUGGGUGAUCUGCCCUGCUCUUCGGGAUAAGCCUGGGAAACUGGGUCUAAUACCGGAUAGGACUCCGGACUGCAUGGUCUGGGGUGGAAAGCUUUUGCGGUGUGGGAUGGGCCCGCGGCCUAUCAGCUUGUUGGUGGGGUGAUGGCCUACCAAGGCGACGACGGGUAGCCGGCCUGAGAGGGUGACCGGACACAGUGGGGCUGGGAUACGGCGCAGACUCCUACGGGAGGCAGCAGUGGGGAAUAUUGCACAAUGGGCGCAAGCCUGAUGCAGCGACGCCGCGUGAGGGAUGACGGCCUUCGGGUUGUAAACCUCUUUCAGCAUCGACGAAGCGAAAGUGACGGUAGGUGCAGAAGAAGGACCGGCCAACUACGUGCCGGCCGCCGCGGUAA